This 575-nucleotide ribosomal RNA is filed under the name Nitzschia sp. CCMP2526. RNAcentral's name for it is "eukaryotic LSU rRNA". It matches the Rfam family "Eukaryotic large subunit ribosomal RNA", at positions 364 to 1006 of the family's 3401-position model. The record is from RNAcentral. Lineage: Eukaryota; Bacillariophyta; Bacillariophyceae; Bacillariales; Bacillariaceae.
AUGCAAAGAACUUUGAAAAGAGAGUUAAAGAGUACCUGAAAUUGCUGAAAGGGAAGCGAAGGAAACCAGUGUCGGCUCGGUCAUACUUCCCUGCCCGCUUGCGGGUUGGGCGCUGUGUCCGGCCUCGGUUGUUCUUGGUUGGUUCCGCUGGAAGAGCGCGGUGAGAGUUGAUCUCCGUUGCUAGCAGCGGUCCUGACUGAGGAGGACGAAAUGGUUUUCUUUACCCCGUCUUGAAACACGGACCAAGGAGUCUAACAUAUGUGCGAGUACAGAGGUGGCAAACCUCCGUGCGUAAUGAAAGUGACAGUGGUUGGAAUUUUUGCACAAUCCGCCGGCCAUAAUCCCUCGGGAGAACGGUCUGAGUGUGAGCAUACAUGUUGGGACCCGAAAGAUGGUGAACUAUGCCUGAAUAGGGUGAAGCCAGGGGAAACUCUGGUGGAGGCUCGUAGCGAUUCUGACGUGCAAAUCGAUCGUCAAAUUUGGGUAUAGGGGCGAAAGACUAAUCGAACCAUCUAGUAGCUGGUUCCCUCCGAAAUUUCCCUCAGGAUAGCUGCGAUCGACUUUCAAUUUUAUCA